UGGGUCCUCCUCCCCUGCCUCGGUCCCAAGAAACCCAGUGGCCGCGUGACUGGCGGCCACCCCAACCUGCAGCCCUCCUCGCGGUCCCCGAGCCAAGCUGGAAUUGGUUAGACCGCCAGCUCCGGCACGGAGACCACACAGGCGCCGCCGGAGGGCAAGGCUGACCACCGCGCUGCGACUUUGUUGAGCUACAGACUCCCCAGGCCCAAAAGCUCCAGCUCCAGGGAUCCCUGGAGUCUCAUCUCCUCCCGUCUCAGCAUGCAGCGAUGCUCCGGUAUUUCCAAGUCCAAGGGUGUCUUCUCCCGACCCUUAGGCAGCCGCACAGCAGCGGUUUACCCCUGGGGACUAAAGACAUAAAGGCACUAAGCAGAGUAAACUGACCAGCAAACUACGGAUGAAAGGAAAACCUCCAGGCAAUCCCCGCAUCCGACAGGAAACCUCAGAAAUGGACCUGGGAAAUGGAGUGCGGCCCUGGAGUCUGGAAUUUACCAAAAAGGAGGAAAAACGACGUUGGAAAAGAAGGGAAAACAGGCCUGCUUCAGAUGAAAGCACAUCUUGCGAGGAAAGCAACAUGCUAAUUAGAAACUCUUCCUUAAAGUGGAAGGUCGGGGUAGUUAUGUCCAGGGUUAGUUCUGUUCAGGGUUACUUCUCCAGAAUUUGAGUCGUAGUCCGUUCUCUCUCUGUUUGCCUCUGUCUCCCUCUGUGUCUCUCUAUCUCUGCCAGUUAAAACGAAGUUGGCCGCCCAUAGCCAACCAUCGAUGCAAGAUAUGAAAGAAAUCAAGCCGGGCCAGAGAAAACGAAAGUAGCUCCGGACCUUGGGUCUCUGCGUUUUCUCUAGCGGAUCCAUAAGGGAGCCCUCCCGCCAUAAGAGUUUACAUAUUGUGUGAGGUUUUAAACAUGCGUAUUUAACUUACAUACCAAAAAGUUAGCAACCACUAAACUGAUUGUGCCUAGGCGCUAACAACACGAGGCACCCAGCUUCUCAGCGGCCAUUUCCCUGAGUGGCAAAAAGGCCUCAAAAAAGCAAGUUCAUUGGGCCUAAAAAUUGCGUCUAGAGGUUUAGGGCGUAUAAUUAUGGUUUUCAGUCCUCAAACGCUGUUUGGAGGCUGCUCGGAAAGGGCGAUAAGGGAUCAGCCUGAAAUGUUUCUUUUUCAAUUGCCAAAUAUGGAUGUGUCUCAUUUCUGGAUCUUCCAAGAGUAGAUAUUUAUAACAGCCUUUCUAGGAAGAACACCUUCAAGUGAGCACAAUUUCCUACACCCAGACACAAACAUACAUAUUGAUUAAAAAAAUAAAACUAUUUGAAUAAAGUGAUAAUAUU
Prionailurus viverrinus (fishing cat) is the source of this 1318-nucleotide long non-coding RNA. RefSeq lists it as uncharacterized. The transcript has 3 exons. The record is from RefSeq and is a predicted model, not a curated record. NCBI's taxonomy places the organism in Eukaryota, Metazoa, Chordata, Mammalia, Carnivora, Felidae.